UUCGAGCUAUAAUCCGGAAAAUCCAUCGAUUACUUUUUGAGUUAUUAGCGUUUGAAAUCUGUUGCAAUUUCGUGACGGUCGCAAAAUUUUAGAUUUUCAUUUUACACCCAGUGCCGUGGUACAGUACCGUACCUUCCCCUUAGACGUAGUUUUCGUCAAAAUACCCAUGUUUGGAAACCAUCCUUCACCCCAUUAAUGGGUGAAAAAUAGUUGUAAAAAUUCGUCGUCGCUUCCUCGUUUGUCAUCUUCAGUCUCAACUAUUUAGAAGUUAAUUAUUCCCACGAUACUACUUUUAUAUUUUGGCGAAUCAUGUUCCGGUUCACAUAAAAAGUUACGCCAUCAAGAACCAGAUGUUUUGCAUGAUGUCUUCAAGGCGAAUUUCAAUGCUCCCGGAACAAAAUCCGCUGCAUCUGUUCUAAGUGGAUGCAUCAGACGCACAGCAGGACCCAGACCAGACCAGGUUCCGAAAGCCUUGAGCCUUAUCGCAAUCCUACUAAAUGGAUCCAGUUCUGUGCAGCGACUGAAUGGAAUCUGAUGGGACGCCAAAGAAUUUGACUGGGAGAAUCCGGAGAAACUUGAGCAAGUGAAUAUGUUUUUAACAAGUUAAUGUUGUAUUAUAUGUUUAUUAUGUAAUUCAAAUAAAGCUCAUACAAAUCUGGCGUA
Long non-coding RNA from Aedes albopictus (Asian tiger mosquito), 663 nucleotides. RefSeq lists it as uncharacterized. The transcript is spliced from 2 exons. The record is from RefSeq and is a predicted model, not a curated record. NCBI's taxonomy places the organism in Eukaryota, Metazoa, Arthropoda, Insecta, Diptera, Culicidae.